CCUACGUGAGGCAGCAGUGAGGAAUAUUGGUCAAUGGGCUUACGCCUGAACCAGCCAAGUCGCGUGAGGGAAGACUGCCCUAUGGGUUGUAAACCUCUUUUGUCAGGGAGCAACGCCGGCUACGUGUAGCCGCACUGAGAGUACCUGAAGAAAAAGCAUCGGCUAACUCCGUGCCAGCAGCCGCGGUAAUACGGAGGAUGCAAGCGUUAUCCGGAUUUCCUGGGUGUAAAGGGCGUGUAGGCGGGACUGCAAGUCAGUUGUGAAAACCAUGGGCUCAACCCAUGGCCUGCGUUUGAAACUGUAGUUCUUGAGUGGUGGAGAGGCAGGCGGAAUGCGGGGUGUAGCGGUGAAAUGCGUAGAUAUACGGAGGAACACCAGUGGCGAAGGCGGCCUGCUGGAUAAUGACUGACGCUGAGGCGCGAAAGCGUGGGGAGCGAACAGGAUUAGAUACCCUAGUAGUC
Molecule: ribosomal RNA, 461 nt
Filed under: uncultured bacterium
Lineage: Bacteria
Description: partial 16S ribosomal RNA
Rfam family: Bacterial small subunit ribosomal RNA
Source: RNAcentral